Molecule: unclassified non-coding RNA, 441 nt
Filed under: Bombus terrestris (buff-tailed bumblebee)
Lineage: Eukaryota; Metazoa; Arthropoda; Insecta; Hymenoptera; Apidae
Description: misc RNA ENSBTSG00005028732.1
Source: RNAcentral
GCCGUGUAGCCGUCUAAGUUAUUCCGCGAUCACACGCAACUCGCGAACCUAACUUCGCGUGACCGAUGAGAAGCAUACACGGCAUAAAGCUUUAAUUUAGCUAAUGCAAUUGUCCGAUUAAGAAACUUCCCUGAACCGCUUUACUUUCCACUUUUUCGAUCGACCGAUAUUAUCUUUGAAUAACAUAAUCGCUACAAGCCUGUUGAAAGCCCUUUCCCUCGAUCGUGUUGAUUGGAGAUUUAACGUCAUCCCGAUGUUCGUUGCUGGGAAUUCUUAUUCUCGCAGGUUUUCAUCCUGACAUGCAUUUACCUUGUCCUGAUUUUCCUUGCAUCUUUACUUCUGCACAGUUCCAUUUUUAUUAUUUUAUCUUCUGCCGUAUCUUAAAAGUUUGAUGAAAUCUCUGAAUUCAACUUAAUUUUAUUCUAUACACGAUUUACCUAG